UUUGUUUAUUUCUCACUCGGAGAAAUCAAUCGAACUCCCCAGCAUUUCCAUUGCUGCCACUACCAUCACAUCUCCGUCUCCGUCACCACCACAACCAACGCCACCAACACCAGUACCACAAUCAUCUCAUCACCAUCUUUAUCUUCACAAUCAACAACAAACCAAAUCUCACCAUUUUUCCGUCACCAUCAAAAAGAGGGGUUUUUGUUCAUGAGAUUUGAGUGAGGUUCCCCAAGAGAUUCAGUGAGAUUUUCGUAAGAUUUCAGAUCUGUAGAUGUUUUUCAUAUUCCUUUUUCGAUUUUUUUUUUUGUUGUUGUUCCGAUUGAAAUUAGGUUUCAAGAAUCAUCGACAGGUUCAGAAAUCAAACUUUAAAUUUAUUAGCAGCAAAUUAGGUCUCAUAAAAUACCGAUCGAAAUUCAUAAAACUAGGUUUUCUUUAAGGUAUCUUUAUGCUUUUUUCAUUCAGCGAUGUUACUGAUUUGGGUUCACAAAAUUUUAUGAGAAUGGAUUUAGUGAUUAAUUUGGUUUCAUAUAAUCUACAAACAAGGACGAACUCGUAUUUACAGCAUCAUUUGGUUGUAUGAAAGCCAAGGAGCGGGUUGGGGAAACAAAGAACAUAUUUGCUUUCUAAUGGUAUUUUCAUCAAUGUUCUUUACUAGCAUUGUUGUCAUUUUUUCUUCAUAUUUUAGCUUUGAGUACUGUUAUGUUCUUAGUGUGCACCACAGAUACAUUACAGAUGACCGUUUCGCGGGGUUUGGUGUAUGGAUACAAAUGGGGUGUUUUGAUGUUGUGGAUAGUUAUAGGUCUGUGCACAAUCAAGCCGAUGCUCCGGAAAAAAAAGUGAAGCCUGGUACUACGCAUUGAUGCCUGCUUUGUUCUGAUGCUACUGGCUCUGAUUCUGCUGGUGGAGCGUACCCACAUUUUCUCUCUCAAGCUUGAGCUGCAAUAGGGAUUGAGAUGAAAUUAGGGAUUGAUGGCACAUCAUGGGAAUACUUCAUUGCCAUCGCAAUUAAGGCAAACAUGGUGGUUACACAGUUUUUUCUUUGCAACCUAAGCAUCUCAGUUAACGAGAUGAAAAGCGUUGUAAAAGAUACUUGGACUUAUCAUCAUGAAGACCUCAUCUUUCUUACAGUGUUGAUGAAGGGUUGCAUCGUUUAUUCUUAUUUUUUUACUUAAAAUGUUUAAAUUCAUCGUCAAACUCGUUUAGACUCGAUGCAUUGAAGUUCUGAAUUCAGUUAAAUGUCAGUUCAAGUGCUUAUUCAUCUGGUGUUUGUUCUUCGUCAUCUAGUUGUGUUUUAAAUGGCGAAGUAUCUGUGUUGUAGAAGAAUUGGUUGAUAAUGUAAGUGUUGUAGAAGAUGAUCUUAGAGUCUCUGAACACUUGAUUUUUCAGUUAGACUUUAUUUUAAUAGAUGAUCAUAGACUUAUUUUAUGAA
Molecule: long non-coding RNA, 1432 nt
Organism: Papaver somniferum (opium poppy)
Lineage: Eukaryota; Viridiplantae; Streptophyta; Magnoliopsida; Ranunculales; Papaveraceae
Exons: 4
Source: RefSeq, a predicted model, not a curated record